RNAcentral lists this transfer RNA (73 nucleotides) under Stegodyphus mimosarum. It matches the Rfam family "tRNA". Rfam says of the family: Transfer RNA (tRNA) molecules are approximately 80 nucleotides in length. Their secondary structure includes four short double-helical elements and three loops (D, anti-codon, and T loops). Lineage: Eukaryota; Metazoa; Arthropoda; Arachnida; Araneae; Eresidae. The record is from Rfam by way of RNAcentral.
ACCAUCAUGAUAUAAUGGUGAGUACACUCGGCGCGUAACCGAGAGGUCCGUGGUUCGAUUCCCGGCGAAGGCG